GCCCGAGUGGCGGAAUGGUAGACGCAGGGGAUUCAAAAUCCCCCGCUGGAAACAGUGUGUGGGUUCGAGUCCCACCUCGGGCA
Molecule: transfer RNA, 83 nt
Filed under: Actibacterium naphthalenivorans
Lineage: Bacteria; Pseudomonadati; Pseudomonadota; Alphaproteobacteria; Rhodobacterales; Roseobacteraceae
Rfam family: tRNA
About the family: Transfer RNA (tRNA) molecules are approximately 80 nucleotides in length.
Source: Rfam by way of RNAcentral